AGAGCGAACGCUGGCGGCAGGCCUAAUACAUGCAAGUCGAACGAGCCCUUCGGGGUUAGUGGCGGACGGGUGAGUAACACGUGGGAACGUGCCUUUUGGUUCGGAACAACUCAGGGAAACUUGAGCUAAUACCGAAUGUGCCCUUCGGGGGAAAGAUUUAUCGCCAUUAGAGCGGCCCGCGUCUGAUUAGCUAGUUGGUGAGGUAAAGGCCCACCAAGGCUACGAUCAGUAGCUGGUCUGAGAGGAUGAUCAGCCACACUGGGACUGAGACACGGCCCAGACUCCUACGGGAGGCAGCAGUAGGGAAUCUUGCGCAAUGGGCGAAAGCCUGACGCAGCCAUGCCGCGUGAAUGAUGAAGGUCUUAGGAUUGUAAAAUUCUUUCAGCGGGGACGAUAAUGACGGUACCCGCAGAAGAAGCCCCGGCUAACUUCGUGCCAGCAGCCGC
RNAcentral lists this ribosomal RNA (446 nucleotides) under uncultured bacterium. RNAcentral describes it as "SSU rRNA". It matches the Rfam family "Bacterial small subunit ribosomal RNA", at positions 26 to 518 of the family's 1533-position model. The record is from RNAcentral.